Molecule: long non-coding RNA, 699 nt
Organism: Cucumis sativus (cucumber)
Lineage: Eukaryota; Viridiplantae; Streptophyta; Magnoliopsida; Cucurbitales; Cucurbitaceae
Exons: 3
Source: RefSeq, a predicted model, not a curated record
UUUUUUUUUCUUUUUCUCUUCUUUUUCUCUUCUCCUUCCGUUUCUCCUUCUUCCUCCAGCCCAACCGCCCAACCGCCCACCCCAAUCUCUUCUUCUUUUCUUUUCUUUUCUCUUCUGUUCGACGCCAACACAAAGCCACCACCGAUUUCCUUUUCCGACCGACGAAGUCCGGCAGCCGCGCGUGGUCUAGAUCUGCGUCGUUGCGGUUCGCCGAAGCCAAUAUUCCGCUGGUGUCUAAUCUCUCCUUUUCGUCCCGUCACCGCUGCACCGUUCGCCUGAAGCCAUUGGCCGUUCGGGUUGCACAGCCAAGCCGCAACUCCUUCGCGCGCAUAGUCCCACAACCCAAUUGUUCGUUCCCCACAGAAAAUCAUCCGUGAACCGCGCGCCAUUUGGCUAAGUCGGCUUGCACCCCACGUUGCACGAUCUUCGUUUAGGUUGAAGGGAUGCUCGAAUUCCUUGGGUUCACAGCAAACAUUUGAUUUUAGUUGGAACUCGUUCCGUGAAGAUUUGGGCAAAGGUAACAAAUGUGACAAACCGGCGAGGGGCAGGAAGGAAGCGUGAUUGCCAUGGGGAACAUGUUAUUUUGCUUUCGCUUUAUGUUUUUGAGGUUUAAAACACCGUGUUGAAACUUAGCUUACGAACUUUCUUUUAUGUUUUUUUAUAAACAAUAUUUUUUUGUUUUGAAUGUUUGAAAGCAUG